GUGAACGCCCUCACAGGCUUAUACUAUUCCAAACCUCUGUGAACCGUGCCCUUCGGGGCUAUUUUACAAACAUGGUGUAAUGAACGUCAUACAUCAUAACAAAACA
RNAcentral lists this unclassified non-coding RNA (106 nucleotides) under soil metagenome. Its description in RNAcentral is "partial internal transcribed spacer 1". The record is from RNAcentral.